AGAUUGAACGCUGGCGGCAGGCCUAACACAUGCAAGUCGAACGAACUCUUCGGAGUUAGUGGCGCACGGGUGCGUAACGCGUGGGAAUCUGCCCUUGGGUUCGGAAUAACAGUUGGAAACGACUGCUAAUACCGGAUGAUGACGAAAGUCCAAAGAUUUAUCGCCCAGGGAUGAGCCCGCGUAGGAUUAGCUAGUUGGUGAGGUAAAGGCUCACCAAGGCGACGAUCCUUAGCUGGUCUGAGAGGAUGAUCAGCCACACUGGGACUGAGACACGGCCCAGACUCCUACGGGAGGCAGCAGUGGGGAAUUUGGACAAUGGGCGAAAGCCUGAUCCAGCCAUGCCGCGUGCAGGAUGAAGGCCUUCGGGUUGUAACUGCUUUGUACGGAAC
RNAcentral lists this ribosomal RNA (389 nucleotides) under uncultured soil bacterium. RNAcentral's name for it is "bacterial SSU rRNA". It matches the Rfam family "Bacterial small subunit ribosomal RNA", at positions 26 to 445 of the family's 1533-position model. The record is from RNAcentral.